GUGUUGUAUGAAGAAAAAAAAGAAUGCUAGUAUUUUUCUUGAUAAGAAUGAAAGUUUUUACAACAUAUAUGUGGUUAAGGCAUUGCUGCCUACUCUUUGGCACUUAAUUAUAUUUUUCU
This is a small nuclear RNA of Sarcophilus harrisii (Tasmanian devil), 119 nucleotides long. Lineage: Eukaryota; Metazoa; Chordata; Mammalia; Dasyuromorphia; Dasyuridae. The record is from Ensembl.